RNAcentral lists this ribosomal RNA (1506 nucleotides) under uncultured bacterium. RNAcentral's name for it is "bacterial SSU rRNA". It matches the Rfam family "Bacterial small subunit ribosomal RNA". The record is from RNAcentral.
GAGAGUUUGAUCCUGGCUCAGGACGAACGCUGGCGGCGUGGAUUAGGCAUGCAAGUCGGACGGUAGGGCUUUAUCGUAAGAUAGAGUUUGAGAGUGGCAAACGGGUGAGUAACACGUAGGAAUCUACCCUUAAGACGGGGACAACCCAGGGAAACUUGGGCUAAUACCGGAUGAGAGUGCGAGAGAUUGCAUUUAAAAGGAUGGCGAAAGUUGUCGCUUAGGGAUGAGCCUGCGGUCUAUUAGUUAGUUGGUGAGGUAAGAGCUCACCAAGGCGAUGAUAGAUAGGCGGCCUUAACGGGUGGUCGCCCACACUGGGAUUGAGAUACGGCCCAGACUCCUACGGGAGGCAGCAGUCGAGAAUAGUCUACAAUGGCCGGAAGGCUGAUAGUGCGACGCCGCGUGAACGAGGGAGCCCUUCGGGGUGUAAAGUUCUUUUCUAUACGAGCAGUGCUAUAUAUAUGGAUAGUAUAUAUAGAGGGAUAGUAGUAUAGGAAUAAGCAUCGGCUAACUCCGUGCCAGCAGCCGCGGUAAUACGGAGGAUGCGAGCGUUAUCCGGAUUUACUGGGUUUAAAGGGUGCGCAGGCGGUUGUUUAAGUCAGGGGUGAAAGCCCUAUGCUCAACAUAGGGAUUGCCUUUGAUACUGAACGGCUAGAGUGAAGAUGGAGUGGGUGGAAUGUGUUGUGUAGCGGUGAAAUGCAUAGAUAUAACACAGAACACCGAUCGCGAAGGCAGCUCACUAAUUUUCAACUGACGCUCAUGCACGAAAGCGUGGGGAUCAAACAGGAUUAGAUACCCUGGUAGUCCACGCUGUAAACGAUGAUCACUAGCUGUUGGUACGCAGAAGUAUCAGUGGCUAAGCGAAAGUGAUAAGUGAUCCACCUGGGGAGUACGACCGCAAGGUUGAAACUCAAAGGAAUUGACGGGGGCCCGCACAAGCGGAGGAGCAUGUGGUUUAAUUCGAUGAUACGCGAGGAACCUUACCAGGGCUCGAACGCAGGGGGAAUAUACCUGAAAAGGGUAUAGCCAGCGAUGGUCGUCUGCGAGGUGCUGCAUGGUUGUCGUCAGCUCGUGCCGUGAGGUGUCAGGUUAAGUCCUAUAACGAGCGCAACCCCUAUCCAUAGUUGCCAGCGGUUAAAGCCGGGGACUCUAUGGGAACUGCCUGCGCAAGCAGAGAGGAAGGAGGGGAUGACGUCAAAUCAGCACGGCCCUUAUGUCCUGGGCUACACACGUGCUACAAUGGUCGGUACAGAAGGCAGCGACCACGUGAGUGGGAGCCAAUCCUUAAAAGCCGAUCUCAGUUCGGAUUGGAGUCUGCAACCCGACUCCAUGAAGUUGGAUUCGCUAGUAAUCGCGCAUCAGCCAUGGCGCGGUGAAUACGUUCCCGGGCCCUGUACACACCGCCCGUCAAGCCAUGGGAGCUGGGGGUACCUGAAGUUCGUGACCCGCGAGGGAGCGACCUAGGGUAAACUCAGUGACUGGGGCUAAGUCGUAACAAGGUAGCCGUAG